UGUCACUUGGCCAAAACAAAAACAAACAAAAAA
Molecule: small RNA, 33 nt
Filed under: Arabidopsis thaliana (thale cress)
Lineage: Eukaryota; Viridiplantae; Streptophyta; Magnoliopsida; Brassicales; Brassicaceae
Description: ATSL288180
Source: RNAcentral